Molecule: ribosomal RNA, 468 nt
Filed under: uncultured bacterium
Lineage: Bacteria
Description: partial 16S ribosomal RNA
Rfam family: Bacterial small subunit ribosomal RNA
Source: RNAcentral
GACGAACGCUGGCGGCGUGCUUAACACAUGCAAGUCGAACGGAAAGGCCCUGCUUUUGUGGGGUGCUCGAGUGGCGAACGGGUGAGUAACACGUGAGUAACCUGCCCUUGACUUUGGGAUAACUUCAGGGAACUGGGGCGAAUACCGGAUAGGAGCUCCUGCUGCAUGUGGGGGGUUGGAAAGUUUCGGCGGUUGGGGAUGGACUCGCGGCUUAUCCGCUUGUUGGUGGGGUAGUUGCUUACCAAGGUUUUGACGGGUAGCCGGCCUGGGAGGGUGAACGGCCACAUUGGGACUGAGAGACGGCCCAGACGCCUACGGGAGGCAGCAGUGGGGAAUAUUGCACAAUGGGCGGAAGCCUGAUGCAGCAACGCCGCGUGCGGGAUGACGGCCUUCGGGUUGUAAACCGCUUUCGCCUGUGACGAAGCGUGAGUGACGGUAAUGGGUAAAGAAGCACCGGCUAACUACGUG